UGGGGGAUAUUGCGCAAUGGGGGCAACCCUGACGCAGCAACGCCGCGUGAAGGAUGAAGGUUUUCGGAUUGUAAACUUCUUUUAUUAAGGACGAAAAAUGACGGUACUUAAUGAAUAAGCUCCGGCUAACUACGUGCCAGCAGCCGCGGUAAUACGUAGGGAGCAAGCGUUGUCCGGAUUUACUGGGUGUAAAGGGUGCGUAGGCGGCUUUGCAAGUCAGAUGUGAAAUCUAUGGGCUCAACCCAUAAACUGCAUUUGAAACUGUAGAGCUUGAGUGAAGUAGAGGCAGGCGGAAUUCCCCGUGUAGCGGUGAAAUGCGUAGAGAUGGGGAGGAGCACCAGUGGCGAAGGCGGCCUGCUGGGCUUUAACUGACGCUGAGGCACGAAAGCGUGGGUAGCAAACAGGAUUAGAUACCCUGGUAGUCCACGCUGUAAACGAUGAUUACUAGGUGUGGGGGGUCUGACCCCUUCCGUGCCGGAGUUAACACAAUAAGUAAUCCACCUGGGGAGUACGGCCGCAAGGUUGAAACUCAAAGGAAUUGACGGGGGCCCGCACAAGCAGUGGAGUAUGUGGUUUAAUUCGAAGCAACGCGAAGAACCUUACCAGGUCUUGACAUCCAACUAACGAAGUAGAGAUACAUUAGGUGCCCUUCGGGGAAAGUUGAGACAGGUGGUGCAUGGUUGUCGUCAGCUCGUGUCGUGAGAUGUUGGGUUAAGUCCCGCAACGAGCGCAACCCUUGCUAUUAGUUGCUACGCAAGAGCACUCUAAUAGGACUGCCGUUGACAAAACGGAGGAAGGUGGGGACGACGUCAAAUCAUCAUGCCCCUUAUGACCUGGGCUACACACGUACUACAAUGGAUGUUAACAGAGGGAAGCAAGACAGCGAUGUGGAGCAAACCCCUAAAAACAUUCUCAGUUCAGAUUGCAGGCUGCAACCCGCCUGCAUGAAGAUGGAAUUGCUAGUAAUCGCGGAUCAGCAUGCCGCGGUGAAUACGUUCCC
Molecule: ribosomal RNA, 1000 nt
Filed under: uncultured organism
Description: bacterial SSU rRNA
Rfam family: Bacterial small subunit ribosomal RNA
Source: RNAcentral